GGAUGUGAGGGUGAUCUGGCUGCAACAUCUGUCACUCCAUUGAUCGCGAGGGUUGAUUUAGCUGAUCUGGCUGGCCAGGUGCGUGUCCCCUUCCUCCCUUCAGGUGAGUCCCUCCCAAAGCUGCGCACUCAGUUGAAGAGGACAACCACCCCUAUAGAGGAGGACCAUUUUCUUGGUCAGGGACAUACAAGUCGCUGCGCUCCCUGGCUAGAUCCUCCAAACAAGUUCUUAAAGGUUGCCUUCUGGGUUUGUUAUAGAAAACCAUAUAAAUACAAAAUGAGAUACAUUCGGACAGUUUCAGAAU
This 304-nucleotide small nuclear RNA is filed under the name Heterocephalus glaber (naked mole-rat). Its description in RNAcentral is "7SK RNA". It matches the Rfam family "7SK RNA". From Rfam's summary of the family: 7SK was discovered as an abundant small nuclear RNA in the mid-70s but a possible function has only recently been suggested. Two independent studies have found that 7SK RNA binds the CDK9/cyclin T complex (known as elongation factor P-TEFb). The record is from Rfam by way of RNAcentral. Lineage: Eukaryota; Metazoa; Chordata; Mammalia; Rodentia; Bathyergidae.